GGUUAGACGAAAAAUCUAAAUAGAAUAAAAAUAAAAUUAAUUAACAGUGUGAUAUAAGAGAGUAAACUUCCUUCUUUUAUUAGGUGAAAUUUGUAUAAAGAAGUAAACUUUCUUGUUUAUAUCUGGGGGAAUUAUAAAGUAGAGACUAAAAACCAGGAUUAGAUACCCUGUUAUUCUUUAGGAUAUUUAAUAGGGUAGUAAAAGUUGUUCUUCAAACCCAAAGAUUUUGGCGGCAUUCUAACCAAAUAGAGGAGCUUGUCUUAUAAUCGAUAGUCCCCGUUGUAUCUUACCUUUACUGGUUAAGUUUGUAUACCUCCGUUGUCAGAUUACUCCAAAAGGAUGUUUUCAAUAAAAAUUGUUUUUUUACUUCAGGUCAAGGUGCAAUUUAUGUAAAGGCAACGAUGAGCUACAAUUCUUUAGAGAAUUACGGACGCUUAAGUUAAAACUUAGCUGAAGGUGGAUUUAUUAGUAAGCUAACUUAAGGAAAGUUAGCUGAAUGAGGCAAUAGCAUGUGCACAUAUCGCCCGUCACUCUCCUCUUAAAAGGAGAUAAGUCGUAACAAA
This 563-nucleotide ribosomal RNA is filed under the name Daphnia studeri. RNAcentral's name for it is "partial 12S ribosomal RNA". Lineage: Eukaryota; Metazoa; Arthropoda; Branchiopoda; Diplostraca; Daphniidae. The record is from RNAcentral.